This 141-nucleotide ribosomal RNA is filed under the name uncultured bacterium. Its description in RNAcentral is "partial 16S rRNA". It matches the Rfam family "Bacterial small subunit ribosomal RNA", at positions 355 to 511 of the family's 1533-position model. The record is from RNAcentral.
UGGGGAAUUUUCCGCAAUGGGCGAAAGCCUGACGGAGCAAUGCCGCGUGGAGGCGGAAGGCCUACGGGUCGUCAACUUCUUUUCUCGGAGAAGAAACAAUGACGGUAUCUGAGGAAUAAGCAUCGGCUAACUCUGNGCCAG